Long non-coding RNA from Passer domesticus (house sparrow), 6410 nucleotides. RefSeq lists it as uncharacterized. The transcript is spliced from 5 exons. NCBI's taxonomy places the organism in Eukaryota, Metazoa, Chordata, Aves, Passeriformes, Passeridae. The record is from RefSeq and is a predicted model, not a curated record.
GUUGCACUGCAUUGCAUUUAAAACAAAAAUAUCGCUCUGCUUGAGCUUAAAAUGCAAAGCUUUCUUUCUUUCUUUCUUUUUUUUUUUUAACUUACAGGCAAAGAACUUGCCAGUCAAGAUGAAAAACUUCUUCUAAUGGAAUCCAGCUUGAAAGCAACUCAAGAGCAGCUAAGUGAGCAAAUAGCAGAAACAGUUCGCCAAGAACAGAACAGUAGAAAAUCACAGACGGAGAGAUGAAGACCCAGAGAAAACAUAUUCUAACUUCUGAAGAAGAAAUUAGUGAUUACAAAAGGAACACCUGUGAAGAAAUUCCUUGCUCGGUGUGCUGCUGUAUUUUCUGACUUAAUCGGAUCAGACAAAGAUUUGGCAAGAAGUUUCUCUAGCAGGGAAGUAACAAGGCAGCAAAAAUCCCCAGGAAAAGUGAGGGCCACAGCACAGAACUGACCUUCUCCACGACACAAGAACUUUUCAGCAGAAAUUGGAUGUAGAACUUAGACAGGUGGAAAUACAGGAGGGAGUUCCUGCUAUGGUUUUUGGAGACUUUAUCUUAUUCAGAGAGUGGAAUCAAGAGAGGCAGAUUGCCACUGGGAGCAACUGGUGCCAUUAAGCUUCCAAAUUAGUCAGUUCUCCAGCUAAGUAGCUUGGGAAGGUAUGCUGAAGGUUUCAUCUUUCUAAAGGCUCUAUUUAUUAUCUUUACUUAUGUAAAGAGUUCAUUAGAAAGAAUUUUACAUUGAAAUAUGGUAACUUUUUAGCCUCCUUUAAUGCAGUCACGCGUCUUUAACCACCAGACAUAAAACUGCUUAAUUCUGUGGAUAUUAAUGGAUUCAUAUGUCAUAAAGCCAGAAGAAACAGUGUAAUCGAGUCUCAUAUGUGACACAAUACAGACCAUAGGACUUCAGUGAAUUAAGUGGUACGUCAUGUCUUAGUAAAUGUGACUGAAAUGGAGCAUAUUAAAAUACAGCAUACAUUUUUUUUAAUACAUUCUUUACUUAAAAAAGACACUGUAACAGAAUUUGUGACAAUCCGUCAUAGGUUCUCUCAAUAAAUCCAGCUUCUGAAAACAUGGAAUAUGUUGAUUCUGUAUCAUUUUAGCCUCUUAACUCAAAAUCUCAUAUGAAACUUAAUAUAGAACUAAAGUAUAUUAUCUUUUCAUCUUAAUGAACAGUACCUGAAAUCUCAUAAAACCAGUGCAGCUCAUAGUAGGACAAGCUGUGUUUACAGAACAGACACAGUAAAUUUUAGUAUUCAUAUUAAUCUAAUUAUAUUAAUCUACAUGUGUUCUUUAUAUCUACAGUCAAUGCAAAUUAGUAUGGAUUAUAUGAUAUCAGUCCUUCAAUAGUUUGAGUGGAAUAGAUUAGUAAAUGCCAGGGCAGAAUUAUUUGAAUCUCACAGUUAGACCCAAAAAAGUAUUAACAGAGAAUUAGUAGAGCAUUAUAGUAUUAGUUUCUACUUUUUAAAAAACCUUUCAUGGUUUCUAAGACCAUACAGCCUAAAAAUGGUCUAGAAUUUUUAUUUUUGAGAACUCUCCAAAAAUUCUUAGGAAUUCUAUACAGGGAAGUAAAAAUCUAUAUGGCCUUCUGUGACUGCAAUAGUUUUUAUCGUAAAUCAAGUACUGUGAAUUGCAUUGUUACUUUUGAUUUCUUAAAUGUCUUCUUUUUUUGGUGGGGGAGAGAUGCAGAUGUAUGUAAUACCAUAGAACAAAUUACAGAAAGGAUCUUCUUUUUAUACUCAAAUACUUUGGUUAAUUACAUCCCACUUACUAAUUUUUUUUGGGGUUUUUUUGUUUUUUUUUUGUUUUUCUCUUAUAAUACUGUUUGUGCACAUAUGCACAGUGUCAUAUGAGUGUAUCCAUGCAAACCAUUGUCCAUGGUAAUGUCUAUAUACAAGUUGUCACAUAAAAUUUAUAACAACUUUAGGACAUGUUUGCACUUCAAAAUAUGACUUGUUCAAGAUUCCUCUUGCCAGAAGAAUUACUAACUUCUGGCUUUGUAAUUAAUUCCUACUCAUGUGUUUUAAAUUGAUUGAACCAAUCAAAAAUAGAAAAAUUCAUAAUUAUUAAAAAUUAGUUCUAUAAUUUAUUUACUUUAUCUGUGGGGGGAGUUUUUUAAAAUGUUUCAAGGAAUACUUUGGCAAGUGCAGUUAACAUCUCCAAUACACUAAUUUUCUCUGAAGUUUCCGAGAAGUGCUCAAUUUUUUUUUCUAAGUCUAGUUGAAAACCCCAUGUUUUUAAAGUCUUCACAAAGUUCAUUUUACAUGUCCAGAAGUCUGGUAACUUAAAAUAACUUAACUUACCUUGCACCAGAUUUUGCUUAUGAUAUUUUUGAGAACAUUGCUCCAUUACAGAUUUCUAAGUCAGCAGCAUUAAGAUAUCAAAUGUUUCUAGAGCAGAUCAAAUUACUUAAAUGGCUCAUUUGUUUAUUUGUUUGUUUGUUCCUGGCAGCAAUGAUUAACUGGUAUAGUGAUUAUGAGAACAACAUUUCACAGUAUUAGUAUUCAAUUUGAACUUAUAAGUAAUUUUCUGUCAACACUAUUAUUAGUAAACUCCUGUGUAUAUGUUACUCAAAGAAAUCUUAUAAGUCACUUCAGAUUUUAAACUGUAUGGACUAUAUCUAUCUAAAACAAGCAAUAUGUAUCAAAUUAUUCUUUUGAUUUUGUUUCCCUUGAACAAAAAGCUUCUGUCAAAGGUGAAAAGAUCUUUACUUUUCUAGUGGAAUUCCUUUUCAUUUUUCUCAUUGUUAUGGAUUCAUAAGUAAGCAAUCUCACAUUUUAUUGCAAAAUAAGUAGAGGCAGGUGUCUAGAAGAUGGGGAGAAUGGCAUACUCAAUUUCCUUGUGGCAUAUAUUGAAGUUUUAGGAACAUAUUUGCCUGGCCUUCUGCUGGAUUUAGUCAAACUUCAGCUGACGCGUAAGUAAGCAUUGUAUAAACAUUUUCUUUGUUGUACCAAAGUUUAACUUCUCUUCAUUCAGACUUCAUGAUUUCUUCAUUUUUGCAUAUAGUUCAGCGUUGUUAUAACCAAUAUAGGAAAUACCAAACUGUCCAUAAGAAAAGGCAAAUAAAGCAUAAAAAAGCCAGACAUUGAGUUACAUAUUGUUUUAAUAUAGAAUAAGCAAUAUCUAAUAAAAAAGUUCCAUUGGCUUCCAUGUUGGUAUUUAGUGUUACUGUUACUCUAACAAUAGCUAUUAGAUUGCAAUCUUUUUGUUGCUGUAAGACCAUAAGUUUUACACAUCUUCUAACUACUCUGUUUCUGUGAAAUAUAGCUUUGUCUUUUGAAAGGCUAAUAUAACUUAGUGACAACAGUAAGCUGUAGGUUAAAAUGAAUUCUAUUCAAGGUGAUGUAACUACCUGUACAAAGUGGAAUUAAGGGUAUAUGAUCCACUUUUGCUUCAUUGCAUGCUUAGUGUUGCUUGGCAAUUUAGGUUUAUAAAAAUGCAUCGGAGUGAGUGCCAAAAAAAAGAGUCUGAGAGUCAUGGCUAUGAAGACUCUUCCUUUCAUUUCUCCUUAUUAUUCUUUAAUCAGAACUAUUGCUUGUAAGUCAUGUGAGACCAAUCUCCAAAAUGCAUGCCAAUGAAUAAUUUACUCCUGAUUUGAUACAAUCUCAGGAGUCAUUCAGGAAACCCACAUGACGUAUGCUGCUAAGUAGUAACCUGAAUGAGGGGUGCAUGCUGCUGCUCUGCCAUUUCUGCUUACAUACAUUUUAACUUCUCUAUCUAAAAUACUUUAUAGAUUAUGUUUUAAUUUAAUUUAUAUUUCUCUUAAUUCCUCAAUAAUUGUUUUCCUUUCCAGAUUAAUUUUAGGAAAUCUGUAGACAGCUCCAUGUAAACACCUUGCUUCAAAAUGGAAAUUUCUGGAAUUAUAGCCACAAUGUACUUACAGACAUCUGACAUUCUAUGUACUGUAUCUACUCCACAAAAAUUUAUGCUUAUGUAAAUUGGAAUAUAGAAUACUUGAUGUAUUUUAUGCUAUAUCACUGCAUGACUUUUAUCUUCUAGGUCAAACAUAAUUGAAAAAAUAUCUCAGUUUUGCUAAAUUGACUUUACAACACAAAAGGAAACUAUACAAUGAAGUUAUGUUAAUUUGAAGAAAAUAUUAUUAUAUAAGAGGAAUUCUAGCCUUUUCAUAUAUGAGAAGUUACAUUAAUACUAGAGAAACUACUUUGAAAUAAAUAAUAACCUUCAUCUUAGAACUUGAGAGCGAAACCAUGCAGGCUAGUACCUCCUAACUCUAUGCUGUCAAGGUGUGCACACAAUUUCUGUUACAUUUAUGUAUUUAGAAAAGAUCACACUCCAGUAAGGUUACAGCUGCUGGAACAGUUCCACAACCAUUGUGAAAAUUAAAGAAUUGAAGUAUACAAUUUUUAUUUCAUUUUUCAUCAUCAUAUUAAAUAUAAUUUUAGAUGUCAGCCAGAUAAUAUUUUAUAGAAGGGAAAAAGCCCUAAGUUUUCAAAUACAUCAUCCAUAUGUCUGAUUUUUAAUUUCCUUUCUUUGAAUAUAUUUGCCAAUAAAAUAUCCAGUGAAUUUGACAAAGUCUUUAUAUUUUUGCAGAAUAUUAGGUCAUGCUUGCUGAUGGGGAAGAGUACAGGAUGAAGAAGUGUUCUACAUUGAGAAAACAUUAUGAUUUCAUGCUAUGUGUACUGAUGCAGAAAAAAACUCAAAAUUGUCUAGCAAAUCCCAAAAUUGUCUAACAAACCUCAAAAUUUUCUAGCAUUCAGCUACAUUUAAGGAAAGACCUUUAAAAAGAGAAAUUGAACUAAUUAUGCAUAUGUAUAUAUAUAAUGUUUAUAUACCUUUCCUGCAGAAGAAAAUGUGCAUUAGUAUUCAUAUUUGACAUCCAAGGUGUGUUGAAAUUACUAAAAUAUUCAAUUAGUGGGUGAGAAGUAAAUAUCAUAUAGUGAUAUUCAAGUGCCUCUAGAUGUCCAUAAAAAACUGUAAAAUUAUGAUAUUUUGCAGGAGGUUAGAAAUUACAGACUAUGACCUUGUGUCUAUUUUAGUGUGAAGAAUCUGUUGAGUCGUCAAAUAAUAAGGAAAUGGACUUCCUGCAACAAAAGUCAGUUAAGACACACUGAGAUUUGCUGCAUGCAAUGCUUCACUCUUUUCUUCAAAGAAACAUAUUUUAAGGACUGAGUUUUAUGAAUAAUUAUUAAAAAGGCUGCAAUGAGCCAUUUUAUGAAUAUGAGUAUAUAUAUAACAUAGCAUGAAGAAUCUUGAACUCCUUCGGAAAAGAAUAUUCAGGAUUAAAAAGUGCAUAAGUUUUUGAGAAGGUAUCUGUAUGUUCAUAGAAUCAUAGAGUCACAGAAUGGUUUGUGUUGGAAGAGACCUUAAUGAUCACUUACUCCCAAACCCCUGUCAUGGACAGGGGCACCUUCCAUUAGACAGGUUGCUCCAAGCCCCACCCAACCUGUCCUUGAACCUUCUUAGGGAUGGGGCAACCACAAUGUCUCCGGACAACUUGUUCUGGUGCUUCACCACCUGCACAGUAAAGAAUUUUCCCUUAAUGCAUAAUCGAAACCUACUCUAUUUCAGUUUGAAGCAUUUCCCCUAUAUCCCGUCACUACAUGCCCUUGUAAAAUGUCCUUCUCCAUUUUUUUCUUUUUUGUAGGUCCCCUUUAAGAAGGCCACAAUUAGGUCACCCUGAAGCCUUUUCUUUUCCUGGCUGAACAAACCCAAGACUCUCAGGCUUUCCUCAUAGGAGAGGUGCUUCCAUUCUUCUAAUCAUCCUAGAGGCCCUCCUCUGGACUGGCUCCAACAGAACUGUUUAGACCUACUCUGGACUGAACAUCCACAACAACACCCAUAGCUCACACCUGUGGCCACUGGGCCGGGCCUGGGCCGUGACAUUUCCAGCGCUGGAGGCAUUGACAAGGGACUGAGCGAGCCAAGCUACUGCCCACAAAGGGGACUUUCUGAGUUUGUCAUCUCUUUUAGAGCAGCAAGAGAUUCUAUUGUUUAAUGUUGUUCAUUUUCUUGUACUAGUGGGUGCUUUACCUAUUAAAUAAAGAGGGGGUUUUUCCACUUUUGUCCAAAGAAAUAUAUUCCCGAAGCAGUAGAAGGAGGGGCCACUUCAAUCUGCUUUCUAGAAAAACCCCUUCAGAAGUUUUCUCCCAAAUCUGCCCUAAACCAGAACAAACUGAAAAACAGAAACUGUGGUUACCUUGCAACAAUACUAUAUGUAUUCCUGCUGUGAUACUAAAGAAACCCUGCAAUUCAAUACGAGUAAGUCCCAUAUACUUCCAACUAUAUCAAUAGUGAGGAAAGGGAAGAAUGAACUGGAAAAGCUACAUUCUGGCUUAAAAAAAAUGCUAUCUGGCUUUGAAUUAAAACUGUCUUAGAAUUGUAACCACUGUAGAAUUGAAGUCACACCCAAUUUUCACGUAGUUAAUAAAAACUGCUCACAAAUUGAAGUUGGGGAUACAAA